RNAcentral lists this long non-coding RNA (1837 nucleotides) under Salmo salar (Atlantic salmon). Its description in RNAcentral is "lncRNA (ENSSSAG00000110956.1)". Lineage: Eukaryota; Metazoa; Chordata; Actinopteri; Salmoniformes; Salmonidae. The record is from RNAcentral.
UAGGGGAGAGGCGUUGUGCCGUGAGGUGUUGCUGUUUUUUGAAACCAGGUUUGCUGUUCAUUUGAGCAAUAUGAGAUGGAAUGGAGUUCUGUGCAAUAAUGGAUAUAUUUAAUACUGUACACUUUCUUGAUUUUGUUCUGGAUUUGGGGACUGUGAAAAGACCCCUGGUGACAUGUCUGCUGGGUGCGGGAGCAGUAUGAUGAUGUGUUGAGCUCUGGCCAGCAGGCCUUCCUAUUGGAGGAGACAAAUCAGAGUCCAGACAUGUUCCAGACGUGUAGGUAGUCUGCCUCCAGCGGGGAAGGCCUCUGUCAGCCUGGACUAUGUGACGGACAAGUUGAAAGAUCUCAGUGGACACAGAGAGCUUAGUGACCUGGCAAGCAGCCUGUUGAGAACGAGCUGAGCUUCAGUCUCAAGCCUGCAGAGGACACUGGCCCUAGGACCAUGCCUCAGGACUACCUGGUAUGAUGACUCCUUGCUGUCCCCAGUCCACCUGGCCGUGCUGCUGCUCCAGUUUCAACUGUUCUGCCUGCGGCUAUGGAACCCUGACCUGUUCACCGGACGUGCUUGUUGCACCCUCGACAACUACUAUGAUUAUUAUUAUUUGACCAUGCUGGUCAUUUAUGAACAUUUUAACAUCUUGACCAUGUUCUGUUAUAAUAUCCACCCUGCACAGCCAGAAGAGGACUGGCCACCCCUCAUAGCCUGGUUCCUCUCUAGGUUUCUUCCUAGGUUUUUGGCCUUUCUAGGGAGUUUUUCCUAGGGAGUUUUUCCUAGCCACCGUGCUUCUUUCACAUGCAUUGCUUGCUGUUUGGGGUUUUAGGCUGGGUUUCUGUACAGCACUUUGAGAUAUCAGCUGAUGUACGAAGGGCUAUAUAAAUAAAUUUGAUUUGAUUUGAUUUGAUUCAAAAUGUACACUGAAGAUGGAUGUGGAGGACCAAGCUGAUAUGGCUGUGUGAUGCUCAGCGUCAAAGUUUAGCACAAAGAGUAAGACACGUGAAAGUAACAGUAAGCACUGUCUAAAUGUUUUUACAAAUAUUAUUAUUAUUGUUGGGAAGGGCCUGUAAGUAAGCAUUUCACUGUUAGUCUACAGCUGUUUAGGAAGCAUGUGUAAAUUAAAAUGUUAUUUGAAAUGAAGUCUGUUUGGUUUAGAAAGAAAUUCAAAUCAAAUCAAAUGUGUCAUAUACUCUGAAAACCGUGACAUGCUUACUUACAACAAAGAAAAUAGAGUUAGGAAAAUAUUUACUAAAUAAACAAAAGUUUUGAAAAAAGUUACAAUAACAAGGCUAUAUACAGGAAGUACCGGUACAGAGUCAAUGUGCGAGUACAGGUUAGUCGAGGUAAUUUGUACAUGUAGGUAGGGGUAAAGUGACUAUGCAUAGAUGAUAAACAGCGAGCAGCAGCAGUGUAAAAACAAAGGGGGGGUGUCAUUGGCAAAUAGUCCGGGUGGCCAUUUGAUUAAUUGUUCAGCAGUCUUACGGCUUGGGGGUAGAAGCUGUUAAGGAGCCUUUUGGACCUAGACUUGGUGCUCCGGUACUGCUUGCCAUGUGGCAGCAGAGAGAACAGUCUAUGUGUUGCCGCUUUGCUUGUUUGAUGGUUCGUCUGAGGGCAUAGCGGGAUUUCUUAUAAGCAUCCGGAAUAGUGCCCCACUCCUUGAAAGCGGCUGAUCUAGCCUUUAGCUCAGUGUGGAUGUUGACUGGCAGGUUACCAGGAGGAGAGAAUGCCAAGAGUGUGCAAAGCUGUCAUCAAGGCAAAGGGUGGCUACUUUGAAGAGUCUCAAAUAUAAAAUAUAUUUAGAUUUGUUUAACACUUUUUUGCUUACCACAUGAUUCCAUAUGUG